CCAUACUCAAAAUAUACAAGCCAUUAUGCCAAGAUGGUAUACGGAUAGUGUGAGCGAGCCUUUGACCGUUCCCGAUUUCCGAGCUGGCUUGUCAAAACUACAAGGAAUGAAAAGGAGGGAGUAAGCAUAAAUGCUUAAUAAGUUCACAUGCAAAUAGCAAGUAACAUAACCAUAUAAGCAAACAUAAAACAUCAUUUGCAUAAUCAUCACCAAGACAUUCAUAUCACAUUUUCAUUUAUCAU
Molecule: long non-coding RNA, 242 nt
Filed under: Gossypium barbadense (sea-island cotton)
Lineage: Eukaryota; Viridiplantae; Streptophyta; Magnoliopsida; Malvales; Malvaceae
Description: long non-coding RNA (GBAR_LNC011830)
Source: RNAcentral